This is a long non-coding RNA of Haplochromis burtoni (Burton's mouthbrooder), 644 nucleotides long. RefSeq lists it as uncharacterized. NCBI's taxonomy places the organism in Eukaryota, Metazoa, Chordata, Actinopteri, Cichliformes, Cichlidae. The transcript is spliced from 4 exons. The record is from RefSeq and is a predicted model, not a curated record.
UUGUACACAAGUUAUGUUGUGUUAUUAUAGAACUGAAGCAAAACGCAGUAUCGACGCGUUGAAGCGAAUAAAAAGCUACCAACGGGAAGAAGAGGAGACAACAGGAGUAUGAACUUGAUCUUUUACUGAUCAUCAGUUGAUAUAAUUGAUGUGAUAGAAAGUGGACAGAUCGCCGAUCGCUCUCUUACAAACAAGAAGGAGAUUUAAACCGACAGUGAGUAGUGACCUUGAUUGUCCCUUUGAGGCCUUCUGAAUUUACUUCAUUUAAUUUUCUGGUCACUAAGUGUAAUGCACCCAGUAAAGUCAACAGGAAAACUUUACAUGCUCUUCCGUGUUCGUAGAGAGGCGCUCAUGGUUCGUAGAGACAGCUGCCAGAGACGGAGAAACGCAAGAACAGGUAGAAAACUAAGCCUAAAAACAUCUAAACAUGUUAUUGGAGUAAUACUGAAAACACACUUCACUCUGAUGUCAACAGACCAUUUUAAAUCUCGUAGCUGAAACAUGCACAGAAUUAUGAUCAUGGUUUGGAUCAUAGACGUACAUUAAUUCAUGUGCUGGUGAGCUGCACAGAAACGGUGUCUGUGUACACUCUGUGUGGGGAAAUCACUCAGUGGUUUUUAAGCUGGUGAAAAAUGUGAAAUAUU